AUUGAACGCUGGCGGCAGGCUUAACACAUGCAAGUCGAGCGGGGUGAUGGUGCUUGCACUAUCACUUAGCGGCGGACGGGUGAGUAAUGCUUAGGAAUCUGCCUAUUAGUGGGGGACAACAUCUCGAAAGGGAUGCUAAUACCGCAUACGUCCUACGGGAGAAAGCAGGGGAUCACUUGUGACCUUGCGCUAAUAGAUGAGCCUAAGUCGGAUUAGCUAGUUGGUGGGGUAAAGGCCUACCAAGGCGACGAUCUGUAGCGGGUCUGAGAGGAUGAUCCGCCACACUGGGACCGAGAAACGGCCCAGACUCCUACGGGAGGCAGCAGUGGGGAAUAUUGGACAAUGGGGGGAACCCUGAUCCAGCCAUGCCGCGUGUGUGAAGAAGGCCUUAUGGUUGUAAAGCACUUUAAGCGAGGAGGAGGCUCUUUUGGUUAAUACCCAAGAUGAGUGGACGUUACUCGCAGAAUAAGCACCGGCUAACUCUGUGCCAGCAGCCGCAGUAA
Molecule: ribosomal RNA, 503 nt
Filed under: uncultured bacterium
Lineage: Bacteria
Description: partial 16S ribosomal RNA
Rfam family: Bacterial small subunit ribosomal RNA
Source: RNAcentral